GACGUAGGGCGCGAGCGUUGUCCGGAUUUAUUGGGCGUAAAGAGCUCGUAGGCGGCUUGUUGCGUCGACCGUGAAAACCCGUGGCUUAACUGCGGGCUUGCGGUCGAUACGGGCGGGCUGGAGUUCGGUAGGGGAGACUGGAAUUCCUGGUGUAGCGGUGAAAUGCGCAGAUAUCGGGAAGAACACCCGUGGCGAAGGCGGCUCUCUGGGACGGUACUGACGCUGAGACGCGAAAGCGUGGGGAGCGAACAGG
RNAcentral lists this ribosomal RNA (253 nucleotides) under uncultured bacterium. RNAcentral's name for it is "partial 16S ribosomal RNA". It matches the Rfam family "Bacterial small subunit ribosomal RNA", at positions 524 to 776 of the family's 1533-position model. The record is from RNAcentral.